This 1288-nucleotide long non-coding RNA is filed under the name Ovis aries (sheep). RNAcentral describes it as "lncRNA (ENSOARG00000025602.1)". The record is from RNAcentral. Lineage: Eukaryota; Metazoa; Chordata; Mammalia; Artiodactyla; Bovidae.
AUAUGAGGGUUCUAUUAUUUUUUAAGUCUUUAUUGAAUUUGUUACAAUAUUAUUAAUAAUUCUGUUUUGUUUUGCUUUAUUACUUUCUGAUGAUGUUUCAGCUUUUGGGCCGCAAGACAUGUGGAAUCUUAGUUCCCUGACAAGGGACCGAACAUACACCCUCUGCUUUGGAUGGAGAUGUCUUAAGCACUGGACUGCCAGGGAAGUCCCUCUAACUAUUCUUCAUUCACUGUUGAUCUUAACUAAGAAUUUCAUUCAGCUCCUUAGAUUGACAAUAAUAAUUAAUGGAAUGCCUCAGAAGAUUAGAAAAUCAGCUCGUCUGCAUCACAAAUAAGCCAAGUCUUACAGAAGUUCAAAGUAUGAACAGUCACCCAUAGAAGCUUUAACUUCUUGAGCUUGGCUAAAUCCACUCCAGUAUCACAUCUCCCAUAAAUGUCACUCUGGAUCAAGACAGUCUCUGUGAGCAAGUGUGUACUGUUUGCUUUCAACUGCAUCGACUCAAAGAGUUGUCAAUAAUUGCUCUUGGAGCUACAAGGUAAAGUUGCUAUUCUUGUGAAAUAUGAAUGGAAGCUUACCUCUUUUUACCUGCAAACUGAAUCCAAGUAAAACAACUUAUAAGUGGUCAGUGUGAAGUCUUCCCCUCACCAUGAAGGUUCACCACAUUUGUAGAUGAAUACUUUCUACCUAAUCAAUAUAAACUUUGGAAAUAAUCCAAACAGGCCACCAGUCUAGAAAUUUCCUUAUAUUAAGUAUGUAUUUGCCAUGUUUACAUUACUCUUUUAUUUUUAUUUCUGAGGAUUUCAGGGUCAUGUAAUCUGUAAUGGAACUGAAAAUACUCCAACCAGCAAUGAUCCAGGAAGACAUCAAAAACACCCAGACAGAAUAAGGCUAAUAUUUCCUCACCAGGUGUCUAGCCUCUUAAUCUAGUGAUAAUAUCACAUUCCAAAGGGAAAGGCACCGAGACCCUCCCAACUAGUGCUCUAAGCACUUACUUCUCCACCUAGGAUUACCAGCUUGUUGAGCAGCAAACAUUCUCACCUGCAUCAGAGGUGGGGGUUGCUGAGAACAGCAGCAUCUGAGGAGUAAAUAGAGCCCAGGAAAAACUUUUUUUAGAAACCAAAACCCAGCAACAAACUUGUUGGUUUCAGAUGCAGGUGCCAAAUUAUUUGGGGUUUUAUUUGUGCUUCCUGAGGUGGUGGCCCAUCUUUUGAAUUUGGAAUUAAAAAAUGAUCUUUUUUAUAGGUAUGUUUUAGGUUCUGUGAUGAGAGGGGAUGGCCCAUCUUCCUUG